RNAcentral lists this ribosomal RNA (400 nucleotides) under Escherichia coli. RNAcentral describes it as "bacterial SSU rRNA". It matches the Rfam family "Bacterial small subunit ribosomal RNA", at positions 1 to 397 of the family's 1533-position model. Lineage: Bacteria; Pseudomonadati; Pseudomonadota; Gammaproteobacteria; Enterobacterales; Enterobacteriaceae. The record is from RNAcentral.
AAAUUGAAGAGUUUGAUCAUGGCUCAGAUUGAACGCUGGCGGCAGGCCUAACACAUGCAAGUCGAACGGUAACAGGAAGCAGCUUGCUGCUUUGCUGACGAGUGGCGGACGGGUGAGUAAUGUCUGGGAAACUGCCUGAUGGAGGGGGAUAACUACUGGAAACGGUAGCUAAUACCGCAUAACGUCGCAAGACCAAAGAGGGGGACCUUAGGGCCUCUUGCCAUCGGAUGUGCCCAGAUGGGAUUAGCUAGUAGGUGGGGUAACGGCUCACCUAGGCGACGAUCCCUAGCUGGUCUGAGAGGAUGACCAGCCACACUGGAACUGAGACACGGUCCAGACUCCUACGGGAGGCAGCAGUGGGGAAUAUUGCACAAUGGGCGCAAGCCUGAUGCAGCCAUGC